This 253-nucleotide ribosomal RNA is filed under the name uncultured bacterium. RNAcentral describes it as "partial 16S ribosomal RNA". It matches the Rfam family "Bacterial small subunit ribosomal RNA", at positions 524 to 776 of the family's 1533-position model. The record is from RNAcentral.
UACGGGGGGAGCAAGCGUUGUUCGGAUUUACUGGGCGUAAAGGGCGCGUAGGCGGCGUGGCAAGUCACUUGUGAAAUCUCCGGGCUUAACUCGGAACGGUCAAGUGAUACUGCUGUGCUAGAGUGCGGAAGGGGCAACUGGAAUUCUUGGUGUAGCGGUGAAAUGCGCAGAUAUCGGGAGGAACACCAAUUGCGAAGGCAGCUUGCUGGGACGUUACUGACGCUGAGACGCGAAAGCGUGGGGAGCAAACAGG